Molecule: long non-coding RNA, 958 nt
Filed under: Anas platyrhynchos platyrhynchos (common mallard)
Lineage: Eukaryota; Metazoa; Chordata; Aves; Anseriformes; Anatidae
Description: lncRNA (ENSAPLG00000020424.1)
Source: RNAcentral
AUCCAGAAUAGAACUAUUCAUGAUGACCUCUGAGAAGUGCUUCUCCUCCUGAAGUCACUGACUGCUAGAUACUCCUAGCCUCUUCAAUGGGCUCUGCUAGACUAGUCCCUCUUCCUUGUACCAGUGCCCAGUGGAGCUCACGUGCUCCAUGAGGGUUGCUGGAAGGCUACAGAAGUUACUGGCAUCUGUAUAAAAAAUUCCUUGAUAUCUGAAACUUUUGACGUUUUUGGAAGAACUGAAUCUCGGGCAAACCAGCCAGCCUAAGAGUAAAAAUGCUUGGACUUUAGCUUCAGAUACAGAAGACAAUGCAUGCCCAGGUGGCCUAGUAAGUUCCCGGUAGCACAUCCUAAUUCAACUCUGCAAAAAAAAAAGCAAGAGAAGGCUAUCCAAUGGCAGCUCCAAGAAGAAAAAUAUAGCAGUGGGGGUAUUUUUCCUCAAGAAGAACACAGUACCAAGAACAUACCGGUAGUUAUAAUGGAGUAAUACUGCUGACAGCCAUGCCAUGCUCAGACCUGAAGACAACAGGCCUCCCCAGAGACAACAACAACAUAUUCAUGCUGAAUUGAAGCUAGUAUACCUCAAAACACAUUUAACAUCACAAUUAUUACCAAGAUUUACUAGACAGACAUAAAACUGAGCCUGAAUUUCUGAGUCACCAUAGUGACUUACACCAUAGUGUAAGUUCUUCCAGUGCACUAGGUUCAAAACAGUCUGAAAAUGAUGAUGCCCUCAGUGCAUGUAUCUCCCUUAUAGCAGACAAACCGUACAUUUGCUCCCACACAUGCAUACAGACAGGAAACUAAAUAUGCAAUUACCCAAUUUGCAAGUGUGACACAUGUGCACACAUCUGAGGACACACCCUAUCAAGCUCCAUCCUGUAUUUCCCCCACUUUAAUUCAGUUUCUUUCCUCCCACAGACACCCAUACUGCUUGCCAAAUAAAAUUCUGGAAAAAAACA